This 833-nucleotide ribosomal RNA is filed under the name Nocardia sp. AKB-2008-KK5. Its description in RNAcentral is "bacterial SSU rRNA". It matches the Rfam family "Bacterial small subunit ribosomal RNA", at positions 23 to 871 of the family's 1533-position model. Lineage: Bacteria; Bacillati; Actinomycetota; Actinomycetes; Mycobacteriales; Nocardiaceae. The record is from RNAcentral.
CUCAGGACGAACGCUGGCGGCGUGCUUAACACAUGCAAGUCGAGCGGUAAGGCCCUUCGGGGUACACGAGCGGCGAACGGGUGAGUAACACGUGGGUGAUCUGCCCUGCACUUCGGGAUAAGCCUGGGAAACUGGGUCUAAUACCGGAUAUGACUACGGGAUGCAUGUCUUGUGGUGGAAAGAUUUAUCGGUGCAGGAUGGGCCCGCGGCCUAUCAGCUUGUUGGUGGGGUAAUGGCCUACCAAGGCGACGACGGGUAGCCGACCUGAGAGGGUGACCGGCCACACUGGGACUGAGACACGGCCCAGACUCCUACGGGAGGCAGCAGUGGGGAAUAUUGCACAAUGGGCGGAAGCCUGAUGCAGCGACGCCGCGUGAGGGAUGACGGCCUUCGGGUUGUAAACCUCUUUCGACAGGGACGAAGCGGAAGUGACGGUACCUGUAGAAGAAGCACCGGCCAACUACGUGCCAGCAGCCGCGGUAAUACGUAGGGUGCGAGCGUUGUCCGGAAUUACUGGGCGUAAAGAGCUUGUAGGCGGUUCGUCGCGUCGUUCGUGAAAACCUACCGCUCAACGGUGGGCUUGCGGUCGAUACGGGCGGACUAGAGUACUUCAGGGGAGACUGGAAUUCCUGGUGUAGCGGUGAAAUGCGCAGAUAUCAGGAGGAACACCGGUGGCGAAGGCGGGUCUCUGGGAAGUAACUGACGCUGAGAAGCGAAAGCGUGGGUAGCGAACAGGAUUAGAUACCCUGGUAGUCCACGCCGUAAACGGUGGGUACUAGGUGUGGGUUUCCUUCCACGGGAUCCGUGCCGUAGCUAACGCAUUAAGUACCCCG